Molecule: non-coding RNA, 188 nt
Organism: Plasmodium falciparum Vietnam Oak-Knoll (FVO)
Lineage: Eukaryota; Apicomplexa; Aconoidasida; Haemosporida; Plasmodiidae
Source: Rfam
GCUUGGAUAAGGUGCCUAAAUAUUCGCUUAUGAGAUUCUGUUUUAAUAUAAAAAAGGUGUUGGUUCAUGAUAACAGUUGGACGAUAUUCAUGGAAGUUGAAAUUCGCUAAGGAGUGUGUAAUAACUCACCUUCCGAGUGAACUUGCCCUUAUAAUGGAUGGCGCUAAAGUGAAUUACCGAAACCAAGC